UACGUAGGGUGCGAGCGUUAAUCGGAAUUACUGGGCGUAAAGCGUGCGCAGGCGGUGAUGUAAGACAGAGGUGAAAUCCCCGGGCUCAACCUGGGAACUGCCUUUGUGACUGCAUCGCUGGAGUACGGCAGAGGGGGAUGGAAUUCCGCGUGUAGCAGUGAAAUGCGUAGAUAUGCGGAGGAACACCGAUGGCGAAGGCAAUCCCCUGGGCCUGUACUGACGCUCAUGCACGAAAGCGUGGGGAGCAAACAGG
RNAcentral lists this ribosomal RNA (253 nucleotides) under uncultured bacterium. RNAcentral describes it as "partial 16S ribosomal RNA". It matches the Rfam family "Bacterial small subunit ribosomal RNA", at positions 524 to 776 of the family's 1533-position model. The record is from RNAcentral.